GUUCACUCAUCUCACCCUCUCCCUUUAAAACAGGCCCCAGCUCCAUAGUAGGACUCUCCAGGCCACUCAAAAUGGCUGCCAGCAUCUGUCCCUGGUUGAGAACUUCACCAGGAGAGUCUCCUAGAGUGCACUGCAAAUCAGAGGAUGAGAGAGGCUUUGACUACAUGUGAUGUAUAAUGGCUUAUCCACUGCCAUGCCUGUGGGGGUGCAGCAGGGUGUGAGCAUACAGGACCUGCCCACCUGAUCAGUGUGCAAUUGUGUGAGUAACCUGGUUGAAGGAGGAGCUGAAGGUGAUGAUGAGUAAAUAAAAGAACAACCAAAUUGAGAAUGGCCAAGCUGCCUUAGAAGUGACUUUCUUGAUCACAUUUGUAGUAAGAGUUGCGUUGCUGGGGAGAUCUGAUGAUGCAUUCAGUCUAAACCAACAUGGCUAAAUACCCUGCUGAUAUAGAUUGGUGCAGAUCCAGUGAGGUUAAUGGAGCUGAAAUGGUCUACACCAGCAGAGAAUCAGUUUCUAGGAACAGAGAAGAGACUCAAAUAAUGCAGAUGUGCAGUCCCAGCUCUAAAGAACCCCAAGGAAUACUUCAGUCUCUGGGUACUGCCAUUUCUUCUCCAGCACGCCAGGAUGAGGAACUGAGUUGGACAAAGCAGAGCCAUUAGUUCUGCAGACUUCUUCUGAGUUGCUGGCCUGUACACAGUUGUAUUUGAUAACUGCAUGCC
Mauremys reevesii (Reeves's turtle) is the source of this 717-nucleotide long non-coding RNA. RefSeq lists it as uncharacterized. The record is from RefSeq and is a predicted model, not a curated record. The transcript has 4 exons. Lineage: Eukaryota; Metazoa; Chordata; Testudines; Geoemydidae.